This 501-nucleotide ribosomal RNA is filed under the name uncultured bacterium. RNAcentral's name for it is "partial 16S ribosomal RNA". It matches the Rfam family "Bacterial small subunit ribosomal RNA", at positions 30 to 523 of the family's 1533-position model. The record is from RNAcentral.
AUUGAACGCUGGCGGCAGGCUUAACACAUGCAAGUCGAGCGGGGGAAGGUAGCUUGCUACCGGACCUAGCGGCGGACGGGUGAGUAAUGCUUAGGAAUCUGCCUAUUAGUGGGGGACAACAUCUCGAAAGGGAUGCUAAUACCGCAUACGUCCUACGGGAGGAAGCAGGGGAUCUUCGGACCUUGCGCUAAUAGAUGAGCCAAAGUCGGAUUAGCUAGUUGGUGGGGUAAAGGCCUACCAAGGCGACGAUCUGUAGCGGGUCUGAGAGGAUGAUCCGCCACACUGGGACUGAGACACGGCCCAGACUCCUACGGGAGGCAGCAGUGGGGAAUAUUGGACAAUGGGGGGAACCCUGAUCCAGCCAUGCCGCGUGUGUGAAGAAGGCCUUAUGGUUGUAAAGCACUUUAAGCGAGGAGGAGGCUACUCUAGUUAAUACCUAGGGAUAGUGGACGUUACUCGCAGAAUAAGCACCGGCUAACUCUGUGCCAGCAGCCGCCGUAA